Cephus cinctus (wheat stem sawfly) is the source of this 6161-nucleotide RNA transcript. It is a transcript of the gene named PDF receptor, with no coding region annotated. The record is from RefSeq and is a predicted model, not a curated record. The transcript is spliced from 17 exons. Lineage: Eukaryota; Metazoa; Arthropoda; Insecta; Hymenoptera; Cephidae.
ACAGCAUCUAUAUAAAAUAAUAUAAGGGGAUCAGACCAAAAAAAUGCAUAAUUGACAAGCCAGCUUUUAAACUGAAAAGUGUUCACAAUAUUGAUACAUGUUCUUAAAAAGUGACAUCUGAAUAAUUUGUAAUUAUUCUUUGGUCAAAAAUGAGCAAUAAUCACAACGUUUAUAGAUAUAUACUGACAUAAAUAGAAGUUCAUCUGGUAUUACGUAGCUAAUUAAUAAAUAGCUCGUUAUUGCUGUACUGUUUGUGCAAUGGAUUACAUACUUUCGAGUUAUUUUAUAUGUUCAAAGAUUUGCACGUGUCGCAGCACGUGUCUUAACUUGGAAUCGAACCGCAAAUGUAUUCGAAGUAGACAAAUCAGAACGAACCUGUACCUUGUUUACGUAACGAAAUGAGUAAUAUAACGGGGAUAAAUUUGAAAUGGACCAAUAGCAGGUCUAAUGCCAGUAGAAAAGAUAUUAUAUUGGGGAGUAUGUACGAUGACGGAAGGUCGGUAGUGCAGGAUACAGAAGGUAUAGAGAGCUAUGAAAAAUGGUAACAUCCUACCUGUUUGGUUGAAAUGCGAUGCGCCGAAGGGGCGGUAUACCAGCCAAUGGGGAUGCCGGAUUAGAGGGAGAUGCUAUUCAUCUCACAGUCGCGAGUUCUGCAGGAAGAACUGGAGUAGUCGACGCGCGUACUUUAACGCGAUCACAAGUUCUGACCUAAUGUCCUUAUAGUAGUUCCAGUAUAGAAUACAAGAUUGUUGAGAUAAGAAUUGUUCAAUAGUUAAGAGCAAACUAUGUUGAACUUGUGUUAAUCGAAAACUCACUUGAAAAAUGUCGACCUAGUCAUGAUGGAAUUUGCUAUUUUUCUGGAAAUAUCUUGAGUUUUGAGUUAGGGAUGAAGGAAUUACUUAAAAAUUGGGUCCAAAUAGAGCUUGGAAUAACAGGGGACUGAUGAAAUUGAAGUUUUUCAUUACUUAUAUGAUAUAUGUCCAUUGUAUAUCUUUCAUAAACUUUGCUGUUACUUUUAUCCUUUUUAUUUGUCUAACUUAUAUUAUUAUAUUGAUAGCACGUAUAUAAUUUUAAUAUCACGUAGAGUGUUUAAAGCUUUUAAUACUCUUAACACUUGUCUAAAUAUUAAUACUGUUUCUUUUACUUAUUUUCCCAAAAUUUAUUCGAAUUUCAUUUUUCCACUGAAAAAAAGACGUCGAAACGGCUUGUCAGAGCUAUUCGGAUUUAGUUUACUAUUGGCGGGAUAUUAUCCUAUGAAAUAUAGAGCAGCUUCCUAGACAUACAUUAUUAUAAAUCUGCUUUCGUGGUACAAGAUCAUGCACUUCCGGUUCCAACUAUAAAUCAUCCUCUUAUAACCGCCUGAGAUACCACGUCUUUUAACGCACUAUUAUAUAGAAUACAGUACAGAGUACCAGCGGCUAAUUGAAUUUUGAUUUAUUAAUGCAGUGCAACUUCCUUAAUACUCUAUUUAUAAUUUAUGCAAUAACAUCAAACGCUAGUAUCAUUAUUAGUAUAAUCACAAGCUUUCCCAAGAUGUACCCGAGUCACAAUCAUCUUACUCGAUACCCAGUAGAAGUUCGUCAUCUAAAAAAAAUUUAAGUUUAAAAAUCAUCAUCUAUGACGUCCAGUGCAAAAUUGAAGUUACGAUAUUCCAUCUUCCUUUGGCUAUGAUUCUGAAAUAGAAUGGACAAGAACAAAUCAUCUGAUCAUAUAAAACUGAUGCUUUAUUAACAAUUGAAAAAAAUUUCAUUCAAGUGAAAUUUUCUGUCUCUCUCACAGCUUAGAUUCCUCCAAGUUUUAAGUACCAUUAAAAGAUAUCACUCUAAAAAAAAAUAUCAAACGCCGAACGCUACUUGUACUAAUUUCGCAGCAAAAGCUUAGCUAUGAAUUUUUCCUUCAGUUACAAACAGAUUAUUAUUAAUUAUAUCUAGUUGGCAGACAACGGCGCUAUGGAUUCGCUGAAAAUUUUCUUUUAAUUAUAAUCCAAGGAAACCGUGUCAGACCUUCGCAGAAUCUUUGUGACUUUCAAACUUGUGAGAGCUUCAUUUAAUUUCGUGUCUGUUUUACAAUGCCGUGGAAUCACAUGUGCCAAGGAUGAACAUCAAUUGUAAUAUAAUAUUCGGAUAAUACUAAGGAUAGAACAACUCGUAAAAAUAAGUAUAUAAGAACAUAUUCAACCAAGCCGAGUGAAGGGGGAUGCCAGACGUUUUUUUUUUAUGAAGGAUUUAAAAGAUUCUUUACACUGUUCCUUAUUAAUUGAAAAAAUUCCAAAGUGAGAGAUAACUCGUAGUCUUAACAACGCAUAAUGUACUUCGCGUUUAAUUCAGUGAUAAUCGACAGUAGAAGAAACCAUAAUGAAGAAUUUUGAAAGUUGGUAACGGUCUCCGACAAGGAGACGAAGUUACGUCAUCGUGGCAGGUUAUUGUAAAUCCGACGAGACGCCGAUGCACGAGACGUUUAAAACGAAUGGCAGCUGGAUCUUUAAAUAUGGAUUUUCCAAAUGGAAGCGGCAACAAUACUUUAGUUCUCUGCGAUCUACGUUACCGACACUUCAUCGCACCUGACGGAGAACUGUGGUGCAGCUGGGCAUGGGACUCUAUUCUCUGUUGGCCGCCUACGAAAGCAUCAACCACAGCCAAGCAAAGGUGUCCUCUGGAGAACGGUGUCGACACUACGAAGUUUGUGGAAAAACGAUGCGACGACAAUGGACGUUGGGAGGAUCGCGGUGGUCCGACGGGAGAAAGAAAUUCGCCUAAUGGAUGGACAAACUAUACACCUUGUUUCACAAGGGAAAUGCUCCUGCUCAUUCGGAAACUUUACGCCGGGAACGAGGACGCUGCCAAGGUAAAACUGGAUAUUGCGAAGAGAACACGAACACUGGAAUUCGUCGGUUUGAGUAUCUCCUUGGCGGCUCUUCUCAUUUCCCUGGCAAUUUUUUGCCGAUUCAGGAGCUUGCGGAACACGAGGACACGAAUUCACAAGAAUCUUUUUGUUGCUAUGGUCAUUCAGGUUCUAAUAAGAUUGACGCUUUACAUAGACCAGGCAGUCCUUAGAACUGGGACAAAUAGCUUUCAACAUGGAAUAGAAAAUACGCCUGUACUCUGUGAGGCAAGCUACGUCUUGUUGGAAUACGCCAGAACGGCCAUGUUUAUGUGGAUGUUCAUAGAAGGUCUUUUUCUCCAUAAUAUGGUAACAGUUACGGUGUUUCAAGAGACGUCUUAUUAUCGUAUGUAUCGAUUGGUCGGUUGGGGAUAUCCUGUAGUAAUGACAUUGACCUGGGCCAUUGUCACGGCAGUGUACUAUCAUCCGUCAAAAUGUUGGUGGGGCUACAACCUAACCUUCUACUUCUGGAUCCUGGAAGGACCUAGAAUGGCCGUAAUUUUGCUCAACUUUUUGUUCCUGCUGAAUAUUAUACGAGUCUUGGUGGUAAAGCUGAGGCAGAGUCAUACCAGUGAAAUUGAACAAGCUCGGAAAGCCGUGAGAGCAGCCGUCCUUCUUCUACCACUUUUGGGCAUUACUAAUUUGAUCUCGAUGACGGAAGCUCCAUUAGAAAAGGCCGCCUGGGAGUUCGCUUUGUGGUCCUACACAACGCACUUUUUAACGUCCUUUCAGGGGCUAUUCAUAGCGACUCUCUAUUGUUUUCUGAACGGUGAGGUCAGACUGGCCCUGGGUAAAACCAUCUCAGUGUAUCUAUCAUUACGUGGUACAGAAGUACAAAAUAGAAGACAGUCGACCUUCAGUGGAUGCCAACCGCACCGAAUAACCUCGGUCAUCGAAGUCGAAGAAGAAGAAUUGAGAUCGAGUGGUUGGAUUAGACUUUGCUGUCGUGGCGAAGACACUCCGCCCUCGGAUCGACCUGCCGAGUGAGUAAGAUCCGGGAAAAUCGUUUGCCGACCACGUCGAUCCGCGUUUAGAUCAUUCCUGUGGUCGAUCUUCAUUACAGAUCAACGACUGUCUGACCGGAGUGGUGUCAGUGAACGCGCGCUAUCAGGGAACGGCAUCUCGUGACAAGACUUUUUACACGGAGGUGGAACUCGAACGUCAGGGAGGUUUUACCAGGGUAAAUGUUACUAACUAACUCGCGACGAAACACCAAAAGUUUCCGGAAGGAUUGGCUGAUUCUUGCAACAAAGUCAUCGAGCUGCCCUCAGGAGGACUCUUGGCCUCUCGAACUUGACCCAGAUCCAGUGACCCAACGAAAAUGUUUUGUUUCGUACGCGAGACUCGGUAGGCGACGUAAGAAAUGAGCAAAGUAUUAGGAAGGAUAGAUAAAUAGUACAUUAUGUCAGCCAGUAGAAUGAAAGACCAAAGGACAAUAUGACGAGUCAAUAUUAUGUGUAUUCUAGGAUACUUCCUAACCUUAAUUUUUUGUCUUAACCUAAACACAGUUUACACGUCCAUUCAUCCCUUUUGUAUCUUAUAUGGACGAUCGAAUGUACACGUCCUUUAAACUUUCUUAACCUCUCGAUCUUCCUUUUUAUAUGAACCGCAAUUUUUUACGAGCAUUUACUCCCCGACGGUCUUUCAUUCUCAAAAGGGGCAAUCAGCGGGAAUGACAAUUGGCAGCUGAAGCAAAAUGACAAUGAAAGAAGUUUACAAAGAUUCGAGGUUAAGGGUUCCAUUCGCAACAAGCAAGAGUACGGAUAAAUCUUUUAACCUUGGCAAUCGACAUUGUAUUGAAACAGCGGGAAUAGUCGCUCAAGGCUUCUAGAAAAAAAUCAAGCGAUUGCUGGCAAUUACAUGAAGACGAAGGCUAAAAAUAGAUCUGUGCAAAAGCGGAAUGUCAGAUCUUGUGAAUUGUGCACAUUGACUUUAGGAAAAGAAUAAAGAAAAGAAAUAUAUACAGGGUUAUUCACAGUAACCGCAUCAACCGAAGUAAGCCUAUUCAAUUGAUUUCUGUAAUGGAACCAUCUUCACUCCACUGUCACAAUCUUCAUCCGUUGUGACCGUUGCGAAAGGGGUGACCGUAUCCCAGUAAAUAAUGCUCCGGCUUUCAACGGGCUAACUUGUACGAACUCCUAAUUCAGAUUCAAUUGGACUAAGCUACUGGCAUAUAUUACAUUGGGAGUAAACUCAUGUGAAAAGAAAAUAUGGAAUAACGUCGUGAAUAAUCCUGUAUAAAUAUAUUGUAUUUACGUAUUGAGAAUUUGACGUGUGUUACUAAACGGUCUCAGGUAUAGGUAGAUAGUCGCGCACAUCUGUAUACAUAUAUGUAUAUAAGUAUUUUAAUGUUUUUCAAAUACUAAAAGUGAAUGAGAAUGAGGAUCGUGGAUCUCGGUUAACUUGUAAGUUCAAAUUUUGUUAUUAUUCUGAAAAAUUUAUUUUCUAAUAUACCUUCCUGGAUGCUAGUGUAACAUUAGAGUUAACAUUCAUAUAGCAUUAACAAAACGUAUUCCUCCUCAUUGGCAAUUUUAUUUUUGUCAAUGAGUGGAACACGAAGCCAUGAGCGAUAUUUUGUUAAUUAAAAUUUACAAGUGACAAUUUGCGAGGAUCGUGAAUGUGGGUGGCGACGCGUUCUUUUCGAAUAAGAUUUGUGUGUUUAUACGUGUACGUGUACGUAUGUAAGUAAAGUUUGCAAGAAAAAAUCGUUCAGUGGACUGUCGUUCCUCGAAAUCCGUGUGAAAACUUUUAAAGAAGUCGUAAUGUUUUUGUGAGUGUCAUUCGAACGGAUUCUGAGUACAACGAAUAAUAAAAUUUGUAUGUGUUCCAAAAUGUAUGGUGUAACGUUCGUCAUCUUCAUACUAAAUUUAGUGUAUUACAUUCAGAGGAUAUUGUGUAUGGGUACGUUACAAAGAAUAUUAUGGAAAUGGGAAGAUGUAUUUAUUAAAGCAAAAUUUAUGUACGAUCUUGAUAAGUAAAUUUUCCUAUUACGGAGACUGAUCUUUGAUUGAUACGUGACUAAAGAAAUUAGGAUCAAUCGAUUUCAACUCACAGUACGGAAACCUUGUCGAUUAUUACUAAAUUUUUCUAGUCAAGGAAGAAAAAGGAAAAAACAUCUUUUCGUUUAGUGUGCAUCUAAUCGUGUACUACAUUUGAUGAUAACUAGAUAACUUAUUCAGUACAAUAAAAAGGAAUGAUGUGAGAACGAGAGUGUGAAUAUUCUUAAUUUCAUAGAUGUUAUUUUUUUUCAAAUUUUCAAUAAUAAAUUAUGUAUACGUGGA